ACUUAGUAAAGCAAAGAAGAAAGUUUCACUCCAUAGGCUUCUCAAAUGGCAGUUAAUAAGUCUGAUGUGAUGUCGACAAACUAUCACUUACGAGAAAAUGUCAUAAAAGACAUUAUGUUAUAUCUUCCUAUAAAGUCUUUAUUCAGGUUUAAAAGUGUCUCCAAACAUUGGAAUUGUUUAAUUUCCGAUCCUUAUUUUGCUCGUUGUUACAGUUGUCGUUGUAAUCACUCUCACAAGGCAUCCUUAUGGAACAAGCACUACAAUCCAGACAGUUGAGAAUCACAUCAAAUGACACCUCCUUCAAUGGUUUGGAGAGACAUUACCUACAAUAAAAUAAAUUAUUAGUUUAUUGGUAUUUGUUCUUGUUUCAAGGCUUUAUCAUUGUGAUGGUUUUUGUUCUAAUAAAAGUUUGAUAUUGUACUGAAUAUCUUUAUUUGUUUAUCUAAAUUCAUAUAAUCCUACCUAAUAAAAAUAAUAUUAAUUUUCGCUUUA
Long non-coding RNA from Lathyrus oleraceus (garden pea), 492 nucleotides. RefSeq lists it as uncharacterized. Lineage: Eukaryota; Viridiplantae; Streptophyta; Magnoliopsida; Fabales; Fabaceae. The record is from RefSeq and is a predicted model, not a curated record. The transcript has 2 exons.